UUUUCAAGAAUUAAAGAGAGAGAAAGUUCAUCCAUGGAAGAAGGAAGAAGAAGAAGAAGAAGGAAGGCUUAAGAAAAAGGUAUGAAAAUUUCCUAAAUUCAAAACUCUUGUUAGUUUAAAAGUGUUUUGAUAUGGUGUUUUAGAUCAAGUGUUGAACUUAUGAUUUUGAUCCAUAUGAGGGAAGAUCUACAUGAUAUAUGAUAUUUUAUGGUUAGAUCUUGCCAUUUUUAGGGUUGAUAGGCUUGAACAAAGAAGAAUAACCAAAACAGUUUUUUUUGUUUUAAAUGAGUUAGUGGACUGCUGCCCUAAAACAGAAAAUUUCGGAUUUGUUAGAGUGCUCUAAAAAUUCUGGACUUGUGAUAUGUUAUAGUACACUCAAUAAGCUUUCCAUAGACUCCGAAACGGACUAAAUCCGACAUCGGAGGAGGGAGUUAUGGGAUUUCUCCCAAACUACACAAAGUUAAGAAAACUGUGAAAAGGACAGUUUUGGAACAGUCACUUCCGGGCUAAAUUCCGGGAGCUAAACAUAUCCAAAUAUGGAUUGUGAUAUAUGAAAACUGUAGUUCGGAAAGAUACGAAUCCAACAAAAUUGACGGAUCAUUAAUCGGAGUUACAGAUUUCGUUUUAUUUAAGUUUUGGUGAAGGACUCCAAAACUGCCAAAGUGCAAAAAGUUUCUGGCCAAAAUUUUCCGAGGGCUGUUUUGGACAUUUAGUUAAUGAGAAAAAUUACAGGCUUUUGGGAAAUGAAAAUAUAUGGUAAUAUGUAGCUCGUGUCCAAAAAUGAGCUAAUUCCGGCUUAAAACGACCAAGUUAUGACCAUUUCAAUUUUUGUGAUUUUCCGACGGAAAUCGCUAUAACCGGAGUUCUACAACUCCGAUUGCCACGAAAUUUAAAAUGGAGCAUCACGUUAACAUAUAUAAGGUUAUGUCAAAAGAUGGGCAUCUCUGGAGUUAAGCACGAGGUAGCUAAUUUUCUUAAGUCACGCACUAAUUAUGAUUUUUGAAAAAUAGUAAAAGAAAUUGAAAAAUUACGGAAAAAUAUUUUUUAUGUAUGAAAUACAUGUAUAUAUGUUUGACCAAAGGAUAAAAAAAUAAUAAGUUGAUUUGGUAUUUUUCGUGAAAAAGAAUAGUGAUUUCGGGAUACUGAAAUAAAAUCCGUCUUACUGAAAUGGUAUUUCGGUUUACUAAGAUGUUAUCUAAUUUACUAGGAUAACAUAUAAAAAUGAAUAACUUAUAAGUAUAAGUUAUGAUGUGAUUAAAAGAAUAUCAAAGUAUAAUAAUAAUAUUAAGACUUAAAACUAAUGUCUAAUACUUAACUAUAUGUUAUGACUAACCGAAAGAUCUAUUAUAGGUUUUAUAUGCUGUAUAGACUGAUAGGAGUAUGUGGAAAUAUGUUUAAGUUAUUUUAUAACAAUGAUGAUAUUAUUCUAAUAUUGGAGAUCUAUAUUAUUAAUAUUAGGUCUUCAGGAGAAGCGUAUUAUAUUGCGUUACGGUAAUCAACGGUUCAGGCAAGUUUUUCAAGUUCUUUUUACUUAAACUCUUUUAAGAGUGGUUUCAGACAGAUAUGCUUAUGAAUUGUACUCUGUACAUAUUGCAUGUAUUCAUCAGGUAUGAAAGGCUGAUCACCUUCAUUACCAGUCAGUUCAGAUAUAAUUGUUAUGUUCAUUUUCAAUGUUCAUUCAGCUUUGAAAUUUUGUUCAUGCUAAUUCACAACUACAUUGUGAAGGAUAGCCAGCUUAUUAUUCAAACUCUUUCAAUCAUGAUAUAUCUUUACCUUGUUUUUUUUAAACUUGCUGGGCAACUUUCAUGCUCACCCUUGCUAUAUCAUGAUAAAACAUUGCAGAUAAGGCGAAUACGGCCAGAUACAGGAAAAGGAUAAUGCCAAGUUCAGCUUGGGAUAAAAUGUGAAGUUAAGUUGUAAAGUAUGUUGAAGAAUAGUAUUGUCAUAUGUUAGACAGUUCACGAUUGUGUAUUAGUUAAGGUUACUCGAUUUUGGGAAUAGUGUGUAAAGUUUAAUGUAUAAACAAUUUAUGUUUAUAUCUUCCGCAACAGUUGUAGAAAUAGCAAACCGGAUCCACGGCGAUUUGGGACCCGGAUUCGGGGUCGCUACAUGGACCACCAGAAUUUCGUGGAUCCAUGAAUCUAGUUGAAGUACAAACUUAGAUUAUGGAAAUCGAGAAGGUUUUUGAUGUGGCUAGGGUAGAGGAGAAUCAGAAGACAUCUUUUGCAACGUUUAUGUUGAAAGAGGAGGCUUGUUAUUGGUGGCAGGCCAACAAAACUUGGGAAGGACCAGGAGUAAGGACCUGGGAUAGGUUUAAGGAGCUAUUCUUCGAGACUUAUUUCCCUAAGAGUUCGAAGAGUCAGCUAGAGGUCCAGUUUUUGGAGUUGAAGCAAGGAACAAUGUUGGUGUCGGAGUAUGCCGUAAAGUUCAACGAGUUGGCGAGGUUUGCGCUAUAUCAGGUCAGUAUAGACGAGCGCAAGGCGAAAAGGUUUGAGCAGGGACUGAAACCCUGGUUGUACAGUAGGGUUUCCCUGUUCCAAUUGAAGACAUUUACAGCAGUGAUGGAGAAGGCGAUUCUCACUGAAAGUGGAGGCGAGGCGGUAACAAAGCAUAAUCAAGAGCAGAGAAAGAAGAAAAGUGAAGGUGAAGCUAAGAGUGGUGGUAACGGUAGUAAUGGCAAUAACCUGAAGAGGAAGUGGAAUGGAAAUGUGCGAGCUAGAAAUCAGCAAAGAAACCAGCAAAAUAAGAAGUUCGAAGCAUGUGCUACGUGCGGAAAUUUUCAUAAGGGAGUGUGUUUGCUGGGGAAACGAGUAUGCUUCAAUUAUGGCCAGGAGGGUCACGUCGCCCCAAAUUGCACUCAAGCUUAGAAGAAUGUGUGCUUCACGUGCAGAUCCAAGGAUCACUUUGCUCGUGAAUGCCCUAAGAAGAGAUCUGGUGAGACAAAUGGGAGCAAGGGAAGUGCUAGUGGAGGUGCGUUGGCUAUUGCGGUACCAACAACAACAAAUAAGCCCACAGCCAGAACCUUCAACAUGACUGUGCAAGAUGUUGUGCAAUCAAAGGAUGUAGUGUCAGGUAUUAUCCCAAUCAAGGAUAUUGAUGCUUAUAUAUUAUUUGAUUCGGGUGCUACUUGCUCAUUUAUAUCUGAUGAAUUUGAUAUGAGAUUAGGAUUGCCUAGUGAAGAAUUGAAUUUCCCUUUAAACAUAGAAAUUGCGAAUAAGGAAGUACUUCCUGUUAGGUUCGUAUACAAGAACUGUAGGGUGAACAUUAAGGGAAAUAUUUUUAUGGUAUAUUUAAUUCCGAUUAGGCUUGGAGAGGUUGAUGUUAUUUUGGGAAUGGACUGGUUGUUUAAUUGUGGAGCAAAAAUUGACUGCCAAAAGAAAUGUGUAAACCUUAUGACUCCGUCAAAGGUAGUAUUCAAUGGUAGCAAAUCACCUAGACAAAUGUGAUGUCUGACGAUUAUGUAGGCCAAAAAGUUGUUGAGUCAGGGCUGUGUGGGUUAUUUAGCUUACAUAGUCGAUACUCAGAAGAAGGGUGCGAAACUGGAAGAAAUACCAGUGGAUUUGCCAGGACUUCCUCUUGACAGAGAAAUCGAGUUCGUGAUUGACUUAGCGCCAGGAACCGCUCCGAUAUCGAAAGCCCCGUACAGAAUGGCUUCGGUGGAGAUGAAAGAACUGAUGGUACAACUACAGGAGCUGCUGGACAAGAAAUACAUUCAGCCGAGUGUGUCACCGUGGGGAGCACCGGUGUUAUUCGUAAAGAAGAAGGAUGGGUCAAUGCGUCCUUGCAUUGAUUAUAGGGAGUUAAACAAAGUCACUAUUAAGAAUAAAUAUCCAUUGCCGAGAAUAGAUGACUUGUUUGAUCAAUUGAAAGGUGCUAGAUAUUUCUCGAAAAUAGAUUUGAGAAGUGGGUAUCAUCAACUGAAGGUAAGAAAGGAGGAUGUACCGAAGACGGCAUUCCGAACUCGGUAUGGACAUUACGAAUUUUUGGUGAUGUCUUUUGGUUUGUCAAACGCCCCUGUAGCGUUCAUGGAUUUGAUGAACAGGGUGUUUAAACCAUUUUUGGACAAGUUUGUGGUGGUGUUUAUUGACGAUAUUCUAGUGUACUCUAAAACUCAAGAGGAACAUGUGGAACACUUACGUCUAACGCUGGAGACGCUAAGAAAAGAAAAGUUGUAUGCGAAAUUCUCUAAAUGUGAAUUUUGGCUGGAACGUGUACAAUUUCUUGGGCACGUAAUUGACAAGGAUGGAAUCUCAGUGGAUCCAUCAAAGGUCUAAGCUGUGAUAAAUUGGGAACCAAGAACUCCGUCAGAAGUGAGAAGUUUCUUGGGAUUAGCAGGGUAUUAUAGACGGUUUAUCCAGGAUUUCUCCAAGAUUGCCACUCCGUUGACAAAUUUAACGAGGAAAUCUGUAAAAUUUGUUUGGACGGAGAAGUGUGAAGAAAGUUUCCAGGAAUUGAAAAAGAAGCUAAGUAUGGCACCUAUGUUGUCGUUACCGGAUAAUACAGGAAAUUUUGUGGUGUACAGUGAUGCCUCACACAAAGGUUUAGGAUGUGUCCUUAUGCAGAACGGUAAAGUCAUUGCGUAUGCAUUAAGACAAUUGAAAGAUUACGAAAAAGGGUAUCCGACUAAUGAUUUAGAGUUGGUGGCGGUUGUGUUUGCUCUGAAGAUAUGGAGACACUAUCUCUACGGAGAGAAAUGUGAGAUUUACAUAGACCAUAAAAGUUUGAAGUGUAUUUUCACACAGAAGGACCUGAACAUGCGUCAAAGAAGAUGGAUGGAACUGAUAGAAGAUUAUGAUUGUGAGAUCUUUUAUCAUCCAGGCAAAGCAAACGUGGUUGCAGAUGCCUUGAGUAGGAAAGGCAGGGAAAAGUUGAUGUUGUUAACUGAUAAGGAGGAGCUUAUUACAACAAUGUCAAGGUUAGAGUUGGAAAUCAAAUUUCCAAAAGAAUCCGAUGAGAAAUUAUACCAGAUAGAUGCCAGUCAAACUUUGGUGGACAAAGUGAAGAAUGCUCAACUGCAGGAUGAGGAAUGCAGAAAAAUAAGAGAAAGUGUGGUCGACGGAAAGGAAGUGAAAUACAAGGUUGAUACUGAUAGAAUGCUGAGAUUCGAGGGAAGAAUCUGGGUUCCAGCAGUACCAGACAUUAAAGAGGACAUUUUGACAGAAGCUCAUAGCUCGAGAUAUUUGAUUCAUCCAGGAAGUACGAAAAUGUAUCAAGAUUUGAGACAACAUUUUUGGUGGCCAAACAUGAAAAGAGACGUUGCAGAAUGCAUUGCAAAGUGCUUAACAUGUCAGAGAGUCAAGGCUGAGCAUCAAAGACCAAGCGGGUUACUUCAACCAUUAGAGAUACCGGAAUGGAAAUGGGAACAUAUCACAAUGGAUUUUGUGGUAGGUCUUCCAACAACUCAGAAAGGAUACGAUGCGAUAUAGGUGAUAUUGGACAGAUUGACAAAAUCUGCACACUUUUUGCCAAUAAAGAUUAGAUUCAAUCUUGAUCAGCUGGAAAAGUUAUAUGUUAAAGAGAUUGGGUAGAGACAUGGAGUUCCAAUGUUAAUUGUGUCAGAUAGAGAUCCGAGGUUCACAUCAAACUUUUGGAAGAGACUACAAGAAUGUACGGGAACCUAGUUGCGAAUGAGUACUGCAUAUCAUCCGCAAACAAAUGGCCAAAGCGAACGAACAAUUCAGACAUUGGAGGAUAUGUUGAGAGCAUGCGUCAUGGAUUUCAAUGGAAGCUGGGAUGAAUAAUUAUCGUUGGUGGAAUUUGCCUACAAUAACAGUUACCACGCAAGCAUCGGCAUGCCGCCUUACGAAGCAUUGUACGGCAGAAAGUGCAGAACUCCACUGUACUGGGAUGAAGUCGGUGAACGUCAACUGUUAGGACCAGAACUGGUACAACAAACUGUUGAGGUUGUCAAACUCAUCAGAACAAGAUUGAUAGCUUCUCAAGACAGACAAAAGAAAUAUGCUGAUCAACACAGACAAGAUCGCGCAUUCGACGUAGAAAGUUACAUUUUCCUAAAAGUUUCUCCUUGGAAGGGGAAGAUUCAAUUUGGUAAAAAGGGGAAACUAAGCCCAAGGUUUAUUGGACCCUUCGAAGAGCUGAGGAAGGUUGGAGAGGUAGCUUAUGAGGUAGCUCUACCUCCAGAAUUGCAAAAUAUUCAUAAUAUUUUUCACGUGUCGGUGUUACGACCGUAUAAACCUGAUUACAAACACGUAAUUGAGUACGGACCAUUACGGUUUGAGAAAGACUUGUCCUAUGAAGAGGUUUCUAUCACGAUAGUCGACAGGAAAGAACAAGUGCUCAGGAAUAAGGUGAUACCUUAUGUAAAGGUAGUAUGGAUGAACCACAAUGUCGAAGAGGCCACGUGGGAACUCGAAGCUGAAAUGAUGAAGAAUUACCCUAAGUUGUUUGUUUAAUCUAUGUCUUCGAUUCUGGGGACAGAAUCUUUGUAAGUAUGGGAGAAUGUGACGAAUGAAUUGUUUGAAUUGCGAUUCUGAGGACAGAAUCCUUGUAAGGAGGGAAUGAUGUAACAUUCCAGAAUUUUAAUUGUUAUAUUAAAUAUUUAUUGAAUUAUUUAAAUAUUUAAUGGAUGUGUUUAUUGUUGAAUAAAUAAUUGUUCAAAUUUGAAUUGAUGUGGUUAAUUAUUUGUUAAAUAAAUAAUUAAGGAAAAUUAAUUAUUUUGCUAAUUUAAUUUAAUUAUUAAGUUAGAGAAUUUUGAUUAAUUGAAUAACUACUCUUUUUAUUGAAAUUUGUAAAUUUAAAAGGAUGUGUUAGUUGAAUUAAAUAAAGUUAUAAUUAUAUAGAAUAUUAUAAUUUUGUGAUAUUGAUUUAUGUGAUGUAGUAAUUUAAUAAAUUGUUAUUAGAAUUAUUUUAAUUAAAUAAAAGUGUGAUGAAUAACCUUUUAUUAAGUAGUUAUUAAAAUAACUUAAAGGAGUUUUAAUUCAGUUUUUCCAAACAAGGCCUAAUGCCUAUUAAGUCUUUAAUAUAAUUGUGUUUUACCAAACAAGGUGUAAGGAUUAAUGGGUUAUUUUUUAGUUAGUAACCAAACAAGCCUUAUGGCUUUUGAUUUCAAAAUUCGCAUAACUGAUAUCAAUUAUGUUUAUAAUUAUAUUAUAUAAUUAGUAUAUAUAAUAUCUAUAUACGUUAUUUGUUAAGACGUAUGUUAGAGGAGAGAGGUUAGAGAGAAGGAAGAAAACUCAGAGGAAGAAGAAGAGAAGAAGAGAAGAAGAAGAAAAGAAGAAAAGAAGAGAGAAAGGAAGGCUAGAGAUUGGAGAAGGAGAGGCUUGAGAGUAGAAAAGAAUAGCCAUAUCAUCUUCUAUCAAGGUAUUCUCCUAUUUCUUUAAGUUUUAAAAGUUUAGUUUUUAUCUUCUCAAAUUCUCUAUAGAAUCUUUGUGUAAGCAUGAAUUGUUGUUGUUAUGUGGCUUUAUAUUGCAUACUAGUGAUGUUAAAACGAUUUUCAUAAGUUAUAGUUAAUAAAUUGGUAUUAUGUAUAUGUAUGUGGAGAAAAGUAUUUUACAAAGAGUUUUUUUUAUAUAUAUUGUGUAGUUAAAAUAGAAAUUAUGGGUGGUUUAGUUGUUUUAUUGAUAAAUUAGUUAUUCAAUUUGUUAGAGUAUAUAUAUACGUUGAUAAAAAGCUUUGACUUAGUGGUUUUGGUUGAGAAACAAAAUUAUAGUGUUUAUUUUCAUCAAAAAUAUCAAAAAAGUGAGUUUUAGCCAAAAAACAGUGAAUUUGGGUUUGUUAAUUUUGUUGUUUAUGUUGUUAUAUGAGUAGAAACAUGUUAGGAGUUCUUGAAUUUUGUUUACAUGAAGUUGUUAUAUGAUUUACAUACUAUUUGGUCUGUUAGAAACGAGCUUGUAGGCCAAAAUUGGCUUUUUCUGUGCUGUUUCCGAGGCUGUCUGCCGAGGUCUGCAAUUCGGUGCCGCGGGGCGGACUUGCAGUACCUUUGUGGCGCCGCAGCGCCAUGCUCACACCGCAGCGCGGCCUUGUAGCCUUUAUCUCCGUGCCGCAGCGCCAUGCCCAUGCAGCAGCGCGACCCACAGUGUAAACUGUGGCGCCGCGGCGCGAGUUAGCAGAAUGAUCUGAAACUGUACUUUCUGUACACAAAAAUUUUAAGAAAAGUUAUGUGAUGAUAUUAGGACUGCUAAAUGUUGAUUUUAGUAUUUCUAUACUAUGAAUAAGUAUGUUAUUAACAAUUAACUUGUGUUAUAACUCGAUUAUGUGAUUAAAAAUCCAAUUUUAAAUGAUGAACAUAUUUAGUUAUGUUUGUAAGAUGGUAAUGACUAAUUAUGUCAUGAUGACAUAUGUUUAUAGGAUAUUGUGAUUCGUAUUGAUUUGGUUUAGCCUACGAGCAAGACAAGUUCUCUAACUCUACUUUUGUAAUUGAAAUCAAUUAUUGUUCCCAAUAUAAUAAUGCAAGAUUUCUAAUUCUUUAUCUUGUUGAACUAUUUAUUGGUUCAAUUCGAUUACCUUAUGAAUGAUGCAAGCUUUCUAAACUUUGGUUAAAUGUUGACAAGUUAUUCUUGUAUUUAACUUGUUGUUUAGCAUGCACAACUAUUUAUACUAAUGUUAAGCAAUUUCAUCGUUCAAACUGUUAUGCAUGCUUAGUACUCAAUUCUAAUUAACCUUGACUUAAUAUUGUUCAAGCAAGACAUGUUAUAGUUAUUCAAAGUAUAUGCUAUUAGAUUAUUCCUAAAGCAUGAUUUUAGUUUACUAUGUUGAUUCAAUUACAAUUAUUCUGUAAUAUAAUGUUAUUAAUUCAACUAGUCCUCUAGUUGAUGAUCGUUGAACUUCAAAUUACCCUUGAAAGCUUAUCCAAACCAAACUCUCUUUAGUGCGGACUUGUACUCCAAAUACUGAGAUGAACAACCCUAUUAUUAUUAGGGGAUAACUUACGCGUAGCGUUAAAUGUUUGUGCAUAAUACAUGGUACGAAGGGCUGAUCCCCCUAAGUACGAGGAGUCCUUAUAGUCUUUUGACUAUUAAAGUUGGAGUUGAAAGAUUACUCGCGACUGUGGACAUAGUUCAUGGUCUUAUGACCCUCAGUUAUAGUUAUUCUACAUUUUGGAUUUCAGUUUAUGAUUAUUGAUGAUAGAGUAUUAUUUAUUGUUGAUGAGCCUAUUAUUGGCAGUUAUUAUUACUAUACUCCUGUUGAUUUCAUAUUGUAUCCAGUGAGCAAUUGUUUUGCUCACUCUUGAAUAUUUAUAAACUCAUUGCAGCUAAAGAGGAGUAGGUAGAUGAACCUUCAACUAGCAAAGGAAAGGGAAAAAUGUACAAGUGAUGAUGUUAGAC
RNAcentral lists this long non-coding RNA (9284 nucleotides) under Panax ginseng (ginseng). RNAcentral's name for it is "long non-coding RNA (PGIN_LNC011535)". The record is from RNAcentral. Lineage: Eukaryota; Viridiplantae; Streptophyta; Magnoliopsida; Apiales; Araliaceae.